UAGAGUUAUUCUACACCAUGCCACCCUGACAGUGGUGUCAGAUCUAAAGCAACUCCCUGGUUUCUCCAUGGCAUCUUCCUUGUGUGCUUUAGCCAGGGCCCACAGGGUGGAAGAUAUUGGUAUGAUUG
This 128-nucleotide ribosomal RNA is filed under the name Karenia brevis. RNAcentral's name for it is "partial 5.8S ribosomal RNA". The record is from RNAcentral. Lineage: Eukaryota; Dinophyceae; Gymnodiniales; Kareniaceae.